RNAcentral lists this unclassified non-coding RNA (217 nucleotides) under Rhodotorula mucilaginosa. RNAcentral's name for it is "partial internal transcribed spacer 2". Lineage: Eukaryota; Fungi; Basidiomycota; Microbotryomycetes; Sporidiobolales; Sporidiobolaceae. RNAcentral also lists the same sequence under 3 other names. The record is from RNAcentral.
AAUACUUCAACCCUCCUCUUUCUUAAUGAUUGAAGAGGUGUUUGGUUUCUGAGCGCUGCUGGCCUUUACGGUCUAGCUCGUUCGUAAUGCAUUAGCAUCCGCAAUCGAACUUCGGAUUGACUUGGCGUAAUAGACUAUUCGCUGAGGAAUUCUAGUCUUCGGAUUAGAGCCGGGUUGGGUUAAAGGAAGCUUCUAAUCAGAAUGUCUACAUUUUAAG